RNAcentral lists this ribosomal RNA (484 nucleotides) under uncultured bacterium. RNAcentral describes it as "partial 16S ribosomal RNA". It matches the Rfam family "Bacterial small subunit ribosomal RNA", at positions 30 to 507 of the family's 1533-position model. The record is from RNAcentral.
AUUGAACGCUGGCGGCAGGCCUAACACAUGCAAGUCGAGCGGAUGAAGGGAGCUUGCUCCUGGAUUCAGCGGCGGACGGGUGAGUAAUGCCUAGGAAUCUGCCUGGUAGUGGGGGAUAACGUCCGGAAACGGGCGCUAAUACCGCAUACGUCCUGAGGGAGAAAGUGGGGGAUCUUCGGACCUCACGCUAUCAGAUGAGCCUAGGUCGGAUUAGCUGGUUGGUGGGGUAAAGGCCUACCAAGGCGACGAUCCGUAACUGGUCUGAGGGGAUGAUCAGUCACACUGGAACUGAGACACGGUCCAGACUCCUACGGGAGGCAGCAGUGGGGAAUAUUGGACAAUGGGCGAAAGCCUGAUCCAGCCAUGCCGCGUGUGUGAAGAAGGUCUUCGGAUUGUAAAGCACUUUAAGUUGGGAGGAAGGGCAGUAAGUUAAUACCUUGCUGUUUUGACGUUACCAACAGAAUAAGCACCGGCUAACUUCGUG